Zeugodacus cucurbitae (melon fly) is the source of this 2425-nucleotide long non-coding RNA. RefSeq lists it as uncharacterized. Lineage: Eukaryota; Metazoa; Arthropoda; Insecta; Diptera; Tephritidae. The record is from RefSeq and is a predicted model, not a curated record. The transcript is spliced from 5 exons.
UCAUUUUAUUGACAUUUGAAUUUUAUAUUGCAUAAAUUAAAAUAAAUUGUUCCAUUGAAUUUCAUUUUAAAGCAAAUCCAACAUAACCGUUUCGUUUAUAUACAUAUCUUUAUUUGAUUUCGGUAAUGUGUGAUUGAAGAACUACUAAAAGAGUCGAUUGCCAAAAGGGCUUAUAAACUAUACCAAAAUUUACAGAAUUGGAUACCGAUAUUGCGACUCAGAAGAACAGAGUUCAUAACAGAAAGCAGCAAGUGGAGAAAUGGAUAAGAAGAUUUAUUUGUCUGCCACGAUUUGAAAACAAAUGUACAGACAUUUUUAUUGCAAGAGCUUGCUUAGUGAUAGAGCUAAAUGAACUCCAGUUAACUUAGAUAUGUGAGAUCAUAUUAAUGACAAAACUACUGAGAAACGAUAGGCUGUCUCUCUACUAAAAAUAAUUUAACUACAUUUCACAAAAAGCGAAUAAAUUCUCCCCACUUUUCUUUCCUUCGCAAAUACAACCUUUUGUAACGCAGUGUCAAAACUUUGCUGUCAUUACUUACUAAACCUUUUAUAAUUGAAUCAUGCCGAUAGCCCAACACAAUUUCUAACAAGUAAUGAAAGGCUAAGUUCGGGUGCAACCCAACAUUUUAUACUCUCGCCAUUUAUUGAUGAAAUUUAUUAAGUUAACCCACAAUUUGACCAAUAUACUCGUCCAAAAGUCCAAUAGAAUAACGAAAAUCAUCAUAUAUAGUACUUGAGGGCGGAGGUAAUUUCUGAAUGAUUCUACCCAUUUUCAUCUCCAAGGUGUAAGGGGAAUAGGCAUAUUGGGCAUAGAAUUUACUUCUAAAUUGCAAAUCAAUGAAUCACCAGUCUGCAAAAUUGCCAAAUAGAGCGCAAUAGCGAAGAUUCUCCAAAUUUGCAAGUUGAUAAUUUGGGACGAACGCACAAUGGUCCACAAGAAGUCGCUGGAGACACUGCACAGGACUUUAAAAGAUUUACACGACAACCAUGAUGGAGACAUAAUUCUGUUUGCAGGCAGUUGAAGAAUCGCUAACUAACGACUAACAUAGGAGUGUUUUUGCAACAAGAUCAGACUGCGAUUGUAGAAGCAGUUUCUAGAUAUUGGAAAUGGUAAGGCAGAUGGAUUAAUAACAUAUCCAACAGAUUUCUGUCACUCCUCAAACUCGAAAGAGGAGCUUAUUUACAACAAUACAUAAAUCAACAAUAUAAUAGGCUGAGUGAACGACCAAUAUUGGUGGCAAAAAAACAAAAAUGUGAUAGACGUUAAUGGGACAAUUUAGAAUUUCGUUCCAAGCAAACUGACAUAGCUACAACUAUCCCAAACAGUUUUUAUAAUCAUUUGAAUUGCCUGCGCAAUCACCACUUAAUUUGCAAUUAAAAAUAACACCACUCGUCGUUAUCCUGUAUAACAUAUAUCAACCUCGACUUUGCAGAGGAGCAAUAUUGGAUGUGAUGAAGCUAAUUACCUUUGUAACUUACUCAUUUGUUGUAUAUUAUAUAAGAAUUUAAAAUACAAAGUGUAACCAAUUGUGUUGAUUUGCGCUUAAUGCAGAUCUACAAUAAUGUUCCUGCAAGACGGAGGUAACAAACUGCACAAACACAAUCAAACUUUUUCAGCUUUUUACCUAUACAAUUACAACAUUUACAUUUGUUUACAAAUCCCAAUUGAAUGGGAGAAGCCUUAAGUUAGAACGAGAAAAAAUUAUCGCUUCUCUAAGCUUAUUGAUAUAAUAACAUGAUAUAAGAGGAAGAAAUAAGACACUUUUUUCAAAAAGAUUUUUCAUUGUAGCAGUAAUUAGCCAUUUUGUGAUUGGCGUGUUAAGAGAAGCAAUACAACGGAAAGGGUUUGUAAAGCUGAGCUGUUUGAGAUCUCGACGCUUAAAAACUCUUGCCUUUCAUGACUCGGCAAAUUCUGCUCGUUUGCGGAUUACGCCCCACGCGUCGGUUGGGUUUAAUCGUUUGUGUUUAUAAUAACAUAUAAUUUAAUACGGGCAUUGAAAUAUGUUUAUUUAUUUAUUGGCAAGAAUGCGGGACGGGUGCUACAACCAUAACCUUUACUCAAUCGGAAUUGGUACUUGACUUUAAAGAAGAUGUACCGUAGUCAAAUUGGAGAGUUUUUACGUGUUUGGUGUGUUGGUCUGAAAGCGUCAGACAGAUUUGCCUUUUGUUCGAGUUUCCCACAACUACAGUCGCUGAUUAAAUGUGUUGAGACAGACUAUUUUUUACAUCAAAUGGAAUUAUAUCCGACAUUUCUGAAGCUUUUUUAGGCAUCGCAAUGAUCUAACGCAAAUCCUGGUAAAAAAGCGCCUCAAAAUCAUGCAUUAAUCAGCAAUUGUUGCCAUCAAUAGAUAUUGCAGUAAUUGAUACGAUUGUACUAAAUUUAAAAUCUAAAAUAAAUUUAAAUUUGUAAUGGCUUAAAAUGUAA